Molecule: ribosomal RNA, 171 nt
Filed under: Muraenesox bagio (common pike conger)
Lineage: Eukaryota; Metazoa; Chordata; Actinopteri; Anguilliformes; Muraenesocidae
Description: partial 12S rRNA
Source: RNAcentral
CGCCGCGGUUAGACGACGAGGCUCAAAUUGAUGUUCCACCGGCGUAAAGCGUGAUUAGAUAAAUAAAAAACUAAAGCUAAAUACACCCACAGCUGUUAUACGCUUACGGGUUACGAGGCCCCACAACGAAAGUGGCUUUAACACAUUAUUGAAUUCACGACCGCUAAGAAA